RNAcentral lists this ribosomal RNA (167 nucleotides) under uncultured rumen bacterium. Its description in RNAcentral is "partial 16S ribosomal RNA". It matches the Rfam family "Bacterial small subunit ribosomal RNA", at positions 340 to 524 of the family's 1533-position model. The record is from RNAcentral.
UACGGGAGGCAGCAGUGGGGGAUAUUGCACAAUGGGGGAAACCCUGAUGCAGCGACGCCGCGUGAAGGAGGAAGUGCUUCGGCAUGUAAACUUCUAUCAGCAGGGAAGAAGAUGACGGUACCUGACUAAGAAGCCCCGGCUAACUACGUGCCAGCAGCCGCGGUAAU